Molecule: long non-coding RNA, 1121 nt
Filed under: Gossypium raimondii (Peruvian cotton)
Lineage: Eukaryota; Viridiplantae; Streptophyta; Magnoliopsida; Malvales; Malvaceae
Description: long non-coding RNA (GRAI_LNC001860)
Source: RNAcentral
UUGAAAUUUGUAGGUGUUUAUGGAAUUUGUGCUAGGUAAUAUUUGCUGCACUUGCGGUUACAAAUUUGCUUCGAUUUGUGCUCCAAUUUGCACCUUCAAUUGCCUUUGGCGGACUGCUAUCUGCUCCUAGUUGUGGUUGCCAUUUUCUUCAAAUUAUUGCUGCCAUUGAUGCUAUUGUAUUUCCUGCCUAAACUCCUUUACUUCACUACUACCAAUUAUUUGCUUUAAGGUUAGUUUAUUAAUAGAUUUUUUCUUUCUUUCUAUUAAAAAGAAUUGAUGUUGUUAUUGAUUGGUUUGGUUGGAUUAGAAUAAUUAAAGUUAUUGUCGACUGAGUGUUAGUUCGGUUAGCAUUGACAUUGUUACCUAUACAGAAAGAUGUGGGUUCGAACGUGCUGAAACGUAUUUAUCCUCCUAUUUAAGACUUGGGAGGAACUAUAGUUAGUUCUAGGUUAAUUUAAUUUAGAUUAAUUAUAUUGUUAAGGUUUAUUCUAUAGGAAAUACGAUUUAGAUUAGUCUAAUGUUAGUUUUUGUAAGAAAAUCAAUCUUACACAUCUAUGUUUUGCAGAUGGCUUGCUUAUUUUUGUGAAAGGUAGGGUGGAUUCUAUUGUAGGAGUUAAGUGCUUAAUAGAGCAAUUUUAUAAAGUUUUUCAGGAUUGCAGUUAAAUUCUUCAAAGAGUGAAGUGUUGGUCGGCUGGAAUGGUUGAUUCACAAUUGCAGGAAGUUAAAGAGAGGAGUGGAUUUAGCUUGGGUCAGCUACCUGUGAGAUAUCUUGGAGUCCUUGUUACCAGUUAAUUUACGGAGAAAGCUUGUGCACCCCUUUUAGAUAAAAUUUCUUUCCUACGCAAGUAGAGUGCAACUUAUUCAAGCUAUACAUUUUAAUGUACAGAACUUUUGGGUUAGGCACUCUAUCCUUCUCAUAGCAAUAAUUAAGAAGACCAAUCAAUUGUGUCAGAAAUUCUUAUGGGAGAGGAAUGGAGUUAAUAUGCAUAUUAUGGGCCGGGCCGGGUCGGGUUAGGUUUGAAGCAAAAUUUUAGGUUUGCUUUCUAGAUUUGGGUUCUGCCCAAAACAUGAGUUUAACAUUCUGUCUAAGCUUGACUUAAAUUAAAAAUGCUAAAUCCGAG